This 1109-nucleotide long non-coding RNA is filed under the name Homo sapiens (human). RNAcentral's name for it is "non-protein coding ADAMTS9-AS1:28". The record is from RNAcentral. Lineage: Eukaryota; Metazoa; Chordata; Mammalia; Primates; Hominidae.
UCAACUCUGAUGCUCAAGUCUGACCAAUCCCUAGAUACUGCUGACCUAUUCAUAUAUUCAUAUUCUAUCACUGAUAUGGGAAGCUCUGUUUGAAACAUAAACUUAAAAAGGAAUCUCUAUAUAUGAACUAUCAGUGCUAUCAGACAAUGCUAACAUUAUGAACAUGAUGAGGAUAUAACCCUUGUUUUCUUAGAAAUGCCCACCCACAUUUAUGCUGUUUUUAGUUUAUUACUCUUGUCAAAGUUGCCAUGCAGAAUGUCUGUUGGUCAGUUGGGCACAUCUGCACACAUUUACAAUAUCUGCCACCUCUUUUAACCCUCAACCCCGCCCCACAAAAUGAGUGAUGGUGCUUGUUGAUUUGCAGAUUCACAGUCUGGUGAGACAAGUUUGAGAUCUCAUAUUUUCAGCUCAUCCUUGAAAACCUUUCUUCGAUUUGACUGACCUUGAUGGCUCCCUGGAAUCUCACCUACAUUUUAUGGGAAAUUCAACUCUCCAGAGAGAAGAGCUUUCAGAUAGCUGCGGGACUUGCAACUGUGACUUUCAGCUUUCGCUUUUGAAUGAGGCUCCAAAUGUCUCAAUGGUGGCACUAUUUCCAGAUUUGGGAGCCCUGCAAAGCUAAUCUGCUCAACCUUCACCUACUGGGUUCAAUGAAUAUGAAAAGCUGCCUUCCUGAAACUUUUCCUUCAAAGAGGGAAUGAUCUCCUGGAAUUCAAGCUUCUACAAGGUGGCUACCUGGUGUUUUCCACUUUUGCCGUCUCCUAAAAAGCAUCAUUCAAGCCUUGCCCUUUCAACCCACUGAACACAUAAACAUGCUUUCUCCUUAACUGAACUUAUGGCCACGAUGAACUUGAACUCUGAGAUUCACAGAGGAGAGUUUGUUUUAACAGCUGCUUUUACAAUGAAGCCCUGGAGUUACUACUCUCAAGACCCCUGGUUCUGAUAGGCCAUCUUUUCACUGUCCUCUGCAUUUUCUAAUGCCCAGCUGUCAAGGAACACCCACUGAAGUUUUCCAAAACAAAGGCACGAAACACAAGAAAGGCAAGAGAAUGCUAAUCACCAGAUGCAUGGGCAUCCUAUGGGGGAACCCCUUACAUGUGGAAUACGGUUUU